Small nuclear RNA from Ictidomys tridecemlineatus (thirteen-lined ground squirrel), 106 nucleotides. The record is from Ensembl. NCBI's taxonomy places the organism in Eukaryota, Metazoa, Chordata, Mammalia, Rodentia, Sciuridae.
GUGCUUGCUUUGGCAGCAUAUAUACUAAAAUUGGAGUGAUACACAGAGGAUUGGCAUGGCCCAGCACAAGAACAACAUGUAAAUUUGUGAAGUAAUCUAUAUUUUU